GAUGAACGCUGGCGGCGUGCCUAAUACAUGCAAGUCGAGCGGUAAGGCUUUCACAGUUCCCAUCUCUCUCAUUUAUUUGAGGAAUAGAGGUGUGAAGCGUGAAAGUACACGAGCGGCGGACGGCUGAGUAACACGUAGGAACCUACCCAAACUGAGGGAUAACUGCUCGAAAGAGUAGCUAAUACCGCAUACCUUCUUCGGAAGAAAGCUACGGCGGUUUGGGAAGGCCUGCGUAAGAUUAGCUUGUUGGUGAGGUAACGGCUCACCAAGGCGACGAUCUUUAGUCUGGUCUGAGAGGGAUGAUCAGCCAGACUGGGACUGAGACACGGCCCAGACUCCUACGGGAGGCAGCAGUAGGGAAUUUCUACAAUGGGGCGAACCCUGAUGGAGCAACGCCGCGUGCAGGAUGAAGGC
RNAcentral lists this ribosomal RNA (414 nucleotides) under uncultured bacterium. RNAcentral's name for it is "bacterial SSU rRNA". It matches the Rfam family "Bacterial small subunit ribosomal RNA", at positions 28 to 415 of the family's 1533-position model. The record is from RNAcentral.